GUACUCGCUUCAGCAGCACAUAUACUAAAAUUGGAACAAUACAGAAAAGAUUAGCAUGGCCCCUGUGCAAGGAUGACAUGCAAAUUCACGAAGCACUUCAUAUUAAA
Small nuclear RNA from Gorilla gorilla gorilla (western lowland gorilla), 107 nucleotides. Lineage: Eukaryota; Metazoa; Chordata; Mammalia; Primates; Hominidae. The record is from Ensembl.